Long non-coding RNA from Harpegnathos saltator (Jerdon's jumping ant), 1166 nucleotides. RefSeq lists it as uncharacterized. NCBI's taxonomy places the organism in Eukaryota, Metazoa, Arthropoda, Insecta, Hymenoptera, Formicidae. The transcript is spliced from 3 exons. The record is from RefSeq and is a predicted model, not a curated record.
UUCGACGUCGCUCCUCUGUCCUGAAAUAGGUCACGUUAAUUGUCGUUGUUAUUCCAGCGUUAAUGCGCACGACUAAUUUGUGUCUUCUUCUUGACGUUGUGUCCUCCGGUAACUUUGCGCUUAGCUAAGACACACACUGUUGUGCGAUAUCUUUUUCUUUUUUUAACGUUGCCAACGUUGACGUUUGACGUUUGAUGAGAUGUAUGAUGGUAGCUUCGCAACAUUGACACCCGUUAUAUGUAUACCACUUCUGAAUUAUAAUCUCAGCUUCCUUUCGAGGAAGAUAGAGGUAAUCGGUGGGAUAAUCUCGAUGUGCAAUGUUAUGUUUAAGUUAAGAUUCUCGUAUCGUACGCGCUAUUGACUCGUCGUAAUGUUUAAUAACUAUUGCUUCUAACGAGCUUAUUUAUUUCUCUUCCGGCGUGUACGAGGGAGUACUCUGUGAGUAAAAAACAGAGUCAAGAUUACUCUUAGGGUUGUUAUCUGUGAAAAUUGUCACGACCAAAACUUUGGAAGAACCUGACGACGAACCGCGGAAUAACGAUUAAGGUUGAAUAACUUCUCAACAAAGCUGCUCAAAUCGCUCCCAACUAUGCUCGAGGAUUAACAUAAACAAUUUCCUGGAUUCUACCUCAAAAAUAAUAAUUUAGGCAGAUCAGGUGAUCUGGGUGGCUAAGACACUGGACCUCCUCGACUUAUCCAUCGAUUAGGAAAAAUAACAUUCAUGUGUUGUCUGACAGCCAAACUAAAGUGAAGAGGUGCUCCGUCAAGUUGCAUCCACAUGUUUUGCCGAAGGUUUAGAGAUCAAUCUUCCAGAAGAAUAGCGUUGUAAAGCCCAUCGAUAAAAUUUCAUUCUCCUACCAUGAUCCUCCUGCGUCAAGGCUUGGUGCAAGUUGAUAUGGAAUGUUGAAUGGAUGUUGACGCGCACGAUGCAAGAUAUUCCAAAUAUUUACGUGGGAUAUUCCAAGUUCUCGUGACAAUUGUCGUGUACUGUAAUGAGGAUUUACAACAAUUGCUGCUAAAACAUUUAUUGUUGUGUCCUGACUACAAACUGGACAAGACCGAUUCAUAUUGCGAUGAACUGCAAAAGUCCCAUGUUCUCCCAAACGAUGAUAUGAAACGAAUGAAGACCAUAGGAGAUGGGUAAUGGAAUCUAUUAGGAUUAUCUU